This is a non-coding RNA of Enterococcus dispar ATCC 51266, 364 nucleotides long. It matches the Rfam family "transfer-messenger RNA". Rfam says of the family: Bacterial tmRNA, also known as 10Sa RNA or SsrA, is named for its dual tRNA and mRNA-like properties. Its role is to liberate the mRNA from a stalled ribosome. To accomplish this part of the tmRNA is used as a reading frame that ends in a translation stop signal. Lineage: Bacteria; Bacillati; Bacillota; Bacilli; Lactobacillales; Enterococcaceae. The record is from Rfam.
GGGGACGUUACGGAUUCGACAGGCAUAGUUCGAGCUUGAAUGGCGCUUCGUAGGUUACGACUACGUUAAAACGUUACAGUUAAAUAUAACUGCUAAAAACGAAAACUCUUACGCUUUAGCUGCCUAAAAACAGUUAGCGUAGAUCCUCCCGGCAUCACCCAUGUGCUCGGGUAAGGGUCUCAAAUUUAGUGGGAUACGCUAAGUUUUUCCGUCUGUAAAAUUUAGAAGAGAUUAUCAGACUAGCAAAGUAAAAAGCCUGUCCCUCGGCGUUUUACCUAGCGAAUUUCAAAAGAGCGGACUAUGAGCGUAGUCUUUUGGGUGGCGAUGUGUUUGGACGCGGGUUCGACUCCCGCCGUCUCCAUUA